UACAGAGGGGGCAAGCGUUGUUCGGAAUUACUGGGCGUAAAGGGCGCGUAGGCGGCCUUCUAAGUCGAACGUGAAAUCCCCGGGCUCAACCCGGGAACUGCGUCCGAUACUGGAAGGCUUGAAUCCGGGAGAGGGAUGUGGAAUUCCAGGUGUAGCGGUGAAAUGCGUAGAUAUCUGGAGGAACACCGGUGGCGAAGGCGGCAUCCUGGACUGGUAUUGACGCUGAGGCGCGAAAGCUAGGGGAGCAAACGGG
RNAcentral lists this ribosomal RNA (253 nucleotides) under uncultured bacterium. Its description in RNAcentral is "partial 16S ribosomal RNA". It matches the Rfam family "Bacterial small subunit ribosomal RNA", at positions 524 to 776 of the family's 1533-position model. The record is from RNAcentral.